CUUCCCUUGGGAGUGGUGGAAAAUUGUCCAGAAGGAGCUCGAAGAGAAGCAAAUCCAGUGGAAAUAGAUUUUCUUUCUCCAGUUUCUCAGCAAAAUUCUUAGCAUUCAUUCUUGGAUGAACCCAAACCACCUUUAUCUCUAAACUUGUUAGUGACUGAAUGGAAUGCGGUGCUUCUGUCGGAACAUCUUUAAGAUAUGUACAGCCCUGGGGUGUCUGAAGUAGAGUCAGCUCUAUUCAAAGGCCAAAAUCUGAGAGGGAAAAUGGAAUAGAUAUCAAAAGGAAGCUCAAAUGAUUUUGCUGAAGUCAAGAUGCUGAAUAAGUGAAGGCAAUAGGAGUCCAAUUGUUUUUGCUUUUUAUCUGUAAACUGGACUGGAUCCUGAAUUCUUCUAGGUCUCCUGAAAUAUCUGGCUAUAAAUCUCCAAACUAGCAUUUUCAAUUUUUUUUCCAUCAUUUUCAUUUGGAAUCUUGAGAGCUGAAACCACCCUUGUUCCUGAAGCCCUGAAAACUGCUUCUGGACAACUUGAUACAAACUUCAGAGAGAUUCAUGUCUGUUGCUGUGUAAGCCACUCAGAAAGAUACCUCAACAGCAGACGACAUCAUCAGAGACAUUUCAAACUGCAAAGGAUCUAGAAAUCUUCUUGACAGGCUGCCUGCUGGACUCAGAAAAUACAUUAUAAUCUUCUCCAAUCAUUAACCUUGUUUUCUUUUUGUUUCUCUAGAAAUGCUUCUCCAUAAAUACCUGGUUACUUGCUUACAAAAUGUAGGCCUAACUUUGGGAAGCCACCUGCACCAUCAUCUUACUAAGAGAUUGGUUCAGUGAGAUAGAACCAUCUACAUUACCAGCAGAAAGAACCUAGAAAAGUCAUCACGCUGUAUCACUCAAGACUCAAGACUGAGGAAUGAAGAAUAAGAAGGAGGAAUUUGUAACUGCGGGCCCCCCAGGACAGUUCAAUUGAUCCCAUCUUUUCAAAAGAGUCAUUAAGAGUGGUUUAUCAAGAACUGAGACCCCCUGGGAAAUCUUUAAUCUUUACAAAGUCAAGUGCUCCAACUUGUGGCAAAAUUGCUGAAAACCUAAAGGUUCCAGAAGCUGUAAAAGUUUACAAAGAACUGCAGAAUUUUACCAAGCUUCUUUUGUGUCCUGAGACCUUGGCUUGAUGAUCAUCAGGUUGGGGGGUUGGUCCCAAAAAUAUGAGUGGACGAAAAUGCAGUUACACCCAAUUUUGUGGUCAGAGAUGGUUGGACAGAAAUGUAGGUUGCACUCCUUUUUGUGACUAAGAGUCACGCUAAACUGCUGUCAUCCUCAGGGAAUUGCACUGGCCAUUGGAAGGGACAUUCCAAUAAGAUAACAUCAUUUAAAAGUGCACUUAAAUGUAAAGACUUGAAAAUUCCAAAGUAGCUUUAUUGAAAGUUUUGUUGCAAAAUGAAAAAAUUAAGUUAUAAAAGGUACCUAAAAGAAAAGCCUAAGAGGUCAUGGCUUUAGGGACAUCCUGUAAUCUACCUUCUAAGGAGAGUCCAAAAUGAGACCCUCUCAGAGUUAAAGAGACUCAGAGAUUUUCUGGAAAACUGUUAUGUUGAACAUUACUGGAAUUGUUCAAUACUGCCAGAAAAAGUAAAAGACUACAUCCAUUAUAGGCAGAAAGAAGCUAGAGCAGUUGUCACCCUACAACCUUCAAGAUUGAACAGUGAACAACAGAAAGGGGGGAUUAGUAACCAGAGACCCUCCAGGACCAGUUCAACUGACCCAUCUGAUCCACAGAUUCCUCUCCUCAGGUCUCGGGUCUGUCAUUUGGAUCCAGUCAAGAACACCGCAUACCUCAGAGGAUGGAGAAGCUAUAAACUGCAGCUAAUCCAGGUUCCUGAAUACACAGAAAAGCAUCCCAUAGCUAUUUCCAGCUCCAGAAGUAUCCAGAGAGGAGAGGAUAUCCAGCUAUGAACAUCGAUCAACCUGAACAAGUCAAAGAUCUGUCGGGAAGGAAGAGAAUGGAUGUCAUGAUGUCAAAAAGCAAUAUUGCCACAGCUGCCAAUAUGGGAGAAAUCAUAUAGAAAAGAAAUCUCUGUGAUACAUUUAUUAAAUUCCAGAUAACUGUAAAACCUCAAUGUGAAAAGCAAAGGCUUCAAAUUUUCAGAAGAAAACAUUGAAGGACAUCUUUAUGAGAUUGGUGUAGAAAAUAAUGUCUUAAACCAAAUACCAGAACACCUUCCCUAAAGGAAUGGAUUGGCAAUUGAAUUGCAUAAAAAUACACAUAUUUUGUACGAGAAAAGCACUGUGAUUAUUCGGGAAAGUAUAUAAACUGUGCAAUUAAGCCACAGAGCUUUUCCUUGUCUCUCGUUGAAGCUUCCCUUAGAGAAAUUUUCAUUCAUGCUAAAAAAUUGUUCAAUUCACGACAUGAUUCAUCGUAAAGUGUGCUUUGUGAAGACUGUCUUUAAUGCAUUAAUUUAUAUGCUUCUCUCUUUUGCCUUUUUAUGCCUGUUUAAAAACCCAUACCAGAUGGAAUUACAUUUAUUCAAUUGUUUAAAAUAUGGCAAGUAGUGAAUCUUAACCAUAGA
This 2548-nucleotide long non-coding RNA is filed under the name Equus caballus (horse). RNAcentral's name for it is "lncRNA (ENSECAG00000058946.1)". The record is from RNAcentral. Lineage: Eukaryota; Metazoa; Chordata; Mammalia; Perissodactyla; Equidae.